RNAcentral lists this long non-coding RNA (2060 nucleotides) under Homo sapiens (human). RNAcentral describes it as "non-protein coding lnc-USP33-3:1". Lineage: Eukaryota; Metazoa; Chordata; Mammalia; Primates; Hominidae. The record is from RNAcentral.
CCCGGCCUUGCUGGGGUAGGGGCGGGAGGGGACGGGGUGGGGACCGGCCAUGUCGGAGGUGACCCGGAGUCUGCUGCAGCGCUGGGGCGCCAGUUUUAGGAGAGGCGCCGACUUCGACUCUUGGGGCCAGCUGGUGGAGGCGAUAGACGAGUAUCAGAUAUUAGCAAGACAUCUACAAAAGGAGGCCCAAGCUCAACACAAUAAUUCUGAAUUCACAGAAGAACAAAAGAAAACCAUAGGCAAAAUUGCAACAUGCUUGGAAUUGCGAAGUGCAGCUUUACAGUCCACACAGUCUCAAGAAGAAUUUAAACUGGAGGACCUGAAGAAGCUAGAACCAAUCCUAAAGAAUAUUCUUACAUAUAAUAAAGAAUUCCCAUUUGAUGUUCAGCCUGUCCCAUUAAGAAGAAUUUUGGCACCUGGUGAAGAAGAGAAUUUGGAAUUUGAAGAAGAUGAAGAAGAGGGUGGUGCUGGAGCAGGGUCUCCUGAUUCUUUUCCUGCUAGAGUUCCCGGUACUUUAUUACCAAGGUUGCCAUCGGAACCAGGAAUGACAUUACUCACUAUCAGAAUUGCGAAAAUUGGUUUGAAAGAUGCUGGGCAGUGCAUCGAUCCCUAUAUUACAGUUAGUGUAAAGGAUCUGAAUGGCAUAGACUUAACUCCUGUGCAAGAUACUCCUGUGGCUUCAAGAAAAGAAGAUACAUAUGUUCAUUUUAAUGUGGACAUUGAGCUCCAGAAGCAUGUUGAAAAAUUAACCAAAGGUGCAGCUAUCUUCUUUGAAUUCAAACCCUACAAGCCUAAAAAAAGGUUUACCAGCACCAAGUGUUUUGCUUUCAUGGAGAUGGAUGAAAUUAAACCUGGGCCAAUUGUAAUAGAACUAUACAAGAAACCCACUGACUUUAAAAGAAAGAAAUUGCAAUUAUUGACCAAGAAACCACUUUAUCUUCAUCUACAUCAAACUUUGCACAAGGAAUGAUCCUGACAUGAUGAACCUGGAACUUCUGUGAAUUUUACCACUCAGUAGAAACCAUCAUAGCUCUGUGUAGCAUAUUCACCCUUCAACAGGCAGGAAGCAAGCCGUACCCAGACCAGUAGGCCGGACGGAGUCCAAUGCAAAGCUGUACCACAGAAUUCAGAGUCCAGCACAUCACUGACGUAUAGGACUCCUUGGGAUACAGGUUUAUUGUAGAUUUUGAAACAUGUUUUUACUUUUCUAUUAAUUGUGCAAUUAAUAGUCUAUUUUCUAAUUUACCACUACUCCUACCCUGCUUCCUGGAACAAUACUGUUGUGGGUAGGAUGUGCUCAUCUUCAGACUUAAUACAGCAAUAAGAAUGUGCUAGAGUUUACACAUCUGUUCACUUUUGCUCCAAUAUGCUCUUUUGACUUAAUGUCAAGCUUUGGGUUGAUGUGGGUAGGGUAGUGUCAAACUGCUUUGAGAGGAAUGGGACCAGUUCUGCUGCCUAAGAAGGUCUGUCUGGAUGUUUAUAGGCAGCACCUCUGAAGUGGCCUAAAUUCACCCUGAUCUGAUAGUUUUCCUGCUUAGAAAGUGUGCCUUGGCCAGAUCAGUAUCCCACAUGGGAGUGUUCCCUAGGUUGUAGCUGUGAUUGUUUCCAGAUGACCAGAUUGUUUUUCUGAAAAUGAGCAUAUUUUUAGUCAUGUCGAUUAGCUGUUCUUCUACAUCACAUUGUUACUCUUUCUGAUGAUGAUUCUAGGGUUAACAUUGGAACCAUCUCAAAAUAAUUACAAAGUUUUAGAUGGGUUUACAAUGUCUUCUAAACAAUGUAAUCUAAAAAUAAUUGAGUCAGAUGCUAACGAGAUACUGCAGGCAUAAGUGCUGUUUUUCUGACAACUGAUUGUGAAACCUUAAAACCUGCAUACCUCUUCUUACAGUGAGGAGUAUGCAAAAUCUGGAAAGAUAUUCUAUUUUUUUUAUAUAGGUAGAUAGGAUCGCCAUUUAUUUCCUAUUUAGAUAUACUGACAUUCAUCCAUAUGAAAAUAUGCAGGUCAUUAGCUUACUAUAAUUUACUUUUGACUUAAUGGGGCAUAAAUAAAACUUUCAUAGUAC